This 517-nucleotide ribosomal RNA is filed under the name Callistethus sp. 3 VF-2014. RNAcentral describes it as "eukaryotic LSU rRNA". It matches the Rfam family "Eukaryotic large subunit ribosomal RNA", at positions 666 to 1139 of the family's 3401-position model. RNAcentral also lists the same sequence under 2 other names. Lineage: Eukaryota; Metazoa; Arthropoda; Insecta; Coleoptera; Scarabaeidae. The record is from RNAcentral.
CCAAGGAGUCUAGCAUGUGCGCGAGUCAUUGGGACUCUAACGAAACCUAAAGGCGCAAUGAAAGUGAAGGUUCGCCACGCGCGAACCGAGGGAGGAUGGACGGUCGAUCGUGGCCGUCCCGCACUCCCUGGGCGUCUCGUUCUCAUCGCGAGAAGAGGCGCACCAAGAGCGUACACGCUGGGACCCGAAAGAUGGUGAACUAUGCCUGGUCAGGACGAAGUCAGGGGAAACCCUGAUGGAGGUCCGUAGCGAUUCUGACGUGCAAAUCGAUCGUCGGAACUGGGUAUAGGGGCGAAAGACUAAUCGAACCAUCUAGUAGCUGGUUCCCUCCGAAGUUUCCCUCAGGAUAGCUGGCGCUCGCUUCUCGCGAGUCUCAUUCGGUAAAGCGAAUGAUUAGAGGCAUUGGGGUCGAAACGGCCUCAACCUAUUCUCAAACUUUAAAUGGGUGAGAUCUCCGGCUUGCUUGAACUGUGAAGCCGCGAGAUAUCGGAUCAGAGUGCCAAGUGGGCCACUUUUG